Molecule: ribosomal RNA, 406 nt
Filed under: uncultured bacterium
Lineage: Bacteria
Description: partial 16S ribosomal RNA
Rfam family: Bacterial small subunit ribosomal RNA
Source: RNAcentral
AAUGAACGCUGGCGGCAGGCCUAACACAUGCAAGUCGCACGAGUGGCGGACGGGUGAGUAAGGUCUGGGAAACUGCCUGAUGGAGGGGGCUAACUACUGGAAACGGUAGAUAAUACCGCAUACCAUCAGAUGUGCCCAGAUGGGAUUAGCUAGUUGGUGGGGUAACGGCUCACCAAGGCGACGCUCCCUAGCUGGGCUGAGAGGAUGACCAGCCACACUGGAACGGAGACACGGUCCAGACUCCUACGGGAGGCAGCAGUGGGGAAUAUUGCGCAAUUGGCGCAAGCCUGAUGCAGCCAUGCCGCGUGGUUGAAGAAGGCUUUCGGGUUGUAAAGUACUGUCAGCGGGGAGGCGUUACCCGCAGAAGAAGCACCGGCUAACUCCGUGCCAGCAGCCGCGGUAAUUC